Molecule: transfer RNA, 73 nt
Filed under: Apaloderma vittatum (bar-tailed trogon)
Lineage: Eukaryota; Metazoa; Chordata; Aves; Trogoniformes; Trogonidae
Rfam family: tRNA
About the family: Transfer RNA (tRNA) molecules are approximately 80 nucleotides in length. Their secondary structure includes four short double-helical elements and three loops (D, anti-codon, and T loops).
Source: Rfam by way of RNAcentral
GGCCGGUUCGCUCAGUCAAUUGAGCGUGACACUAGCAAUGCCAAGGUCACGGGUUCGAUUCCCGUUCAGUCCU